Molecule: RNA transcript, 2107 nt
Organism: Bufo gargarizans (Asiatic toad)
Lineage: Eukaryota; Metazoa; Chordata; Amphibia; Anura; Bufonidae
Gene name: gastrula zinc finger protein XlCGF53.1-like
Exons: 8
Source: RefSeq, a predicted model, not a curated record
CCAGACACAGAAGACGGAUGAGAGGAAGUGGGGGGUGUCAGAGCUGGCUGAGAUCCUGACCCUGAUAAAAUAACUGCUUCUACAAAGCUUCUGAAGAUCACAGGAGCCUCCUGCCUUUCUGUUCCUUAGGUGCAGGACUCUCUUCUUUUUAGAGCCAAUGGUCCUUUCUAUCAAGGACCCACCAAGGAUGGAGAAGGACAGAGACCACAUGGCUGCAAGGAUAUUAGACCUCACCCUGGAGAUCAUCUCCUUGAUAACUGGAGAGGAUUACACAGUAGUGAAGAAGUCGUCUGGUGAGUGUGUGACACCUCGUGUGUCAGGAGGAUGGAGCAGGACCCAGAGCCCCAUCACUGAGCAUCCACCUCAUUCCCUGAUACAUGAGCAGAAGAUCCUAGAACUUACCACCAGGAUCAUUGAGCUGCUGAGCGGAGAGGUUCCUAUAAGGUGUCAGGAUGUCGCUGUCUAUUUCUCCAUGGAGGAGUGGGAGUAUUUAGAAGGACAAAAGGAUCUUUACAAGGAAUUCUUGGUGGAGAAUCACCAGUCCCUCACAUCACUGGAUUGAUCCAGUCAGAGAAAUCCACCAGAGAGAUAUCCCAGUCCUCUACAUUCCCAGGACUCUCCAGAGGAGAAACCAAAUAUCCCACUGGAUCAUCAGAGUACAUCCGGUUACAGAGGAACACGCCGAGGACGCCGAGGAGGCAGAGGAACACGUGCGCACCAAAGACACACAGGACCGGAGCGCUCCCAGAGAAAGACAUCCCCCUACAAUAGCCUCCUGGAAUUCGGCUAUACGGGGAAAGUUCUGGUGAAACGAGUGGACAGGAAAAAACCAUCUCGGUGUCUGUGAAAGUGGAAGACGGGAUAAGCGACUCCUAUGGACAUCUCCACUUAUCUUCCCAUCAUGAAGCAGAAGAUAACAAUACCACACAAGAUGAUUCAAUAACUCCUAAUGUACCCGUAGUCCUUCACAGCAGAGAUAUAUCCACUGAUACCGCUGGUCACAAGAAAUCUUCAUCCAAGCAAUUACUGAUUGGUAAAACAAGAACUAAACAUAAAUGUGGGAACAUUUUUUCUAGUGAGAAAAGUUUUAAAAAUAAAUCUAAUCUUUUUUUGUAUGAGAGAAAUUGCAAAGAUAACGGGUCAUUUUCAUGCUUGACAUGUGCAAAAUCUUUUAGCAUGAAAUCCAUGCUAGUUAGACAUCAGAGAACUCACACAGGGGAGAAGCCAUUUUCUUGUCUUGAAUGUGGAAGGUUAUUUAGUCAGAAAUCAAAUCUUGUUUCACAUCAGAGAACUCACACAGGGGAGAAGUCAUUUUCAUGUCUUGAAUGUGGAAAGUGCUUUAGUCGGAAAUCAAGUCUUGUUGCCCAUCAGAGAAGUCACACAGGAGAGAAGAAGCCAUUUUCAUGUUCAGAAUGUGGGAAGUGUUUUGAAGUGAAAUCAUUGCUUAUACAACAUCUAAGACAUCAUACAAGAGGUAAUCUAUUUUAAUGCACAGACUGUGGGAAACGUUUUAGCCAGAAAUCAAAUCUUGUGAAACAUCUAAGAACCUACUUAGGAAAGAAGACAUUAUUAUGUCUUGAAAGCGGUAAAUCUUUUGGUAUAAAGCAAAUAUUGUUAGACAUCAGAGAACUCACACAAGGGAGAAGCCAUUUUCAUGUUCAGAAUGUGCGAAAUGUUUCACAUCUCAAGCAAGUGUUGAUCGACAUCACAGAACUUACACAGAUGAGAAAGCCAUAUUUAUGUGGAAAAUGUGGGAAGUCUUUUAUUCAGAAAUCAAGUCUUGCUAAACAUGAGAGAAUUCACUUAGAAGAGAAGCCAUUGUAAUGUUCAGAUUGUAAGACAUGUGAGAGAUAUGGAGCUUCAUUGUGGGACCUGCUGCCUAAUCAUGUAUUUUGUGUAACUUAAAACGGUUGUCCAGUUUCCCAUAUUAAUGACCUAUCCUCAAGAAAGUGAGUCGAUCAGUAUGCACCGACAUUGAGAACGUGUAGAAGAGAUCUGGGAACAGAUUUCAGUCAAGACAUGCUUGAAUUUGAUCAAUAACGUGCCCAGUACUGACAGACUGCAGAAGGAGAGACAUUGCUUCUCUCUCCCUGUUAACUGUACAUGG